GAAUUCAUCUCAAAGGAACCGCAUACUGGUCCCUGCAUCACAUAUCACUAACGUACAUGCUAGGUAUAUGAAGCUGGAAUCAUUGAACUUUUGUGAUUGAGCGGCUUGACACACCAUGCAACAACUUUGCAAAACCAAGAAAACUAAGCUUUCCAUCAGUGUGUCUGAUCCAGUCAAGAAGAACAGCAUGAACAGGAACAGAUGGACCAAGA
RNAcentral lists this unclassified non-coding RNA (212 nucleotides) under Hevea brasiliensis (rubber tree). The record is from RNAcentral. Lineage: Eukaryota; Viridiplantae; Streptophyta; Magnoliopsida; Malpighiales; Euphorbiaceae.